Molecule: long non-coding RNA, 204 nt
Filed under: Elaeis guineensis (African oil palm)
Lineage: Eukaryota; Viridiplantae; Streptophyta; Magnoliopsida; Arecales; Arecaceae
Description: long non-coding RNA (EGUI_LNC071356)
Source: RNAcentral
ACCUUGACAGACUGUUGAAAAUGGCUGGCAACUGACAGUGUCAUUAUUACACCGUACAUAGAGCCAUGCUCCGACGGAAAUUCCAAAAAGAAGAAAUCUUUUUUGAAAAGACUCUAGUACCAGCGUGCCGAACGUCAAAAUAUCUGACAACCAUCGAGCACAGAAAUCAAGGGAAGCAACUUCAGCUGUGAGAAUUCCUCAGUA